RNAcentral lists this ribosomal RNA (253 nucleotides) under uncultured bacterium. Its description in RNAcentral is "partial 16S ribosomal RNA". It matches the Rfam family "Bacterial small subunit ribosomal RNA", at positions 524 to 776 of the family's 1533-position model. The record is from RNAcentral.
AACGUAGGACGCAAGCGUUAUCCGGAGUUACUGGGCGUAAAGCGCGGGCAGGCGGCUCGACACGUCUGAUGUGAAAUCUCCUCGCUCAACGGGGAGAGGCCAUUGGAAACGGUCGAGCUGGAGGGCAGUAGAGGUAGGCGGAAUUCCGGGUGGAGUGGUGAAAUGCGUAGAGAUCCGGAGGAACACCAGAGGCGAAGGCGGCCUACUGGGCUGCACCUGACGCUGAGCCGCGAAAGCGUGGGGAGCGAACAGG